Molecule: ribosomal RNA, 329 nt
Filed under: uncultured eukaryote
Lineage: Eukaryota
Description: partial 18S ribosomal RNA
Rfam family: Eukaryotic small subunit ribosomal RNA
Source: RNAcentral
CCCUUAGAUGUUCUGGGCCGCACGCGUGCUACACUGAUGCAUUCAACGAGUCUAAAACCUGGUCUGAUAGGGCUGGGUAAUCUUUUGAAAGUGCAUCGUGAUUGGGAUAGAUGAUUGCAAUUCUUCAUCUUCAACGAGGAAUGCCUAGUAAACGCAAGUCAUCAGCUUGCAUUGAUUACGUCCCUGCCCUUUGUACACACCGCCCGUCGCUACUACCGAUUGAAUGAUUUAGUGAGUACCAGGGACCGAGCGCUUUGGUUGGGUUUCCUUCCCUAGCGCUUGGGAACUGUCGCAAACUUGACCAUUUAGAGGAAGUAAAAGUCGUAACA